RNAcentral lists this non-coding RNA (27 nucleotides) under Homo sapiens (human). Lineage: Eukaryota; Metazoa; Chordata; Mammalia; Primates; Hominidae. The record is from RNAcentral.
AGGCUGACUAAGAAUUCCUAAGCAUAG